AUGUGGGAAACCACGAUGCGGGAAACCCAAGUGCCAGCACUAUGUGUUGGCUGUCCUCGACUGUUAGUAGGUCGGGAAGAAAGUGCUGGGUAAGACGGGUGCCAGCCGCCGCGGUAAUACCCGCAGCACAAGUGGUGGUCAUUAUUAUUGGGCCUAAAGCGUCCGUAGCUGGCCUGUUAGAUGCCUGGGUAAAUCGAUGCGCUCAACGUAUCGAAUUCCGGGUAGACCGGCAGGCUCGGGACCGGGAGAGGCGUGAGCUACUCGAGGGGUAGGGGUAAAAUCCUGUAAUCCUUCGGGGAGGACCAGUGGCGAAGGCGUCACGCUAGAACGGCUCCGACAGUGAGGGACGAAGCCCUGGGGCGCAAACCGGAUUAGAUACCCGGGUAGUCC
RNAcentral lists this ribosomal RNA (390 nucleotides) under uncultured archaeon. Its description in RNAcentral is "bacterial SSU rRNA". It matches the Rfam family "Archaeal small subunit ribosomal RNA", at positions 355 to 747 of the family's 1478-position model. The record is from RNAcentral.